GGUAUCAGAAGUGCGAAUGCUGACAUAAGUAACGAUAAAGCGGGUGAAAAGCCCGCUCGCCGGAAGACCAAGGGUUCCUGUCCAACGUUAAUCGGGGCAGGGUGAGUCGACCCCUAAGGCGAGGCCGAAAGGCGUAGUCGAUGGGAAACGGGUUAAUAUUCCCGUACUUGGUGUUACUGCGAAGGGGGGACGGAGAAGGCUAUGUUGGCCGGGCGACGGUUGUCCCGGUUUAAGCGUGUAGGUGUGUGUUCCAGGUAAAUCCGGUUCACUUUAACACUGAGGCGUGACGACGAGGCACUACGGUGCUGAAGCAACAAAUGCCCUGCUUCCAGGAAAAGCCUCUAAGCAUCAGGUAACAUCAAAUCGUACCCCAAACCGACACAGGUGGUCAGGUAGAGAAUACCAAGGCGCUUGAGAGAACUCGGGUGAAGGAACUAGGCAAAAUGGUGCCGUAACUUCGGGAGAAGGCACGCUGACACGUAGGUGAAGUGAUUUACUCAUGGAGCUGAAGUCAGUCGAAGAUACCAGCUGGCUGCAACUGUUUAUUAAAAACACAGCACUGUGCAAACACGAAAGUGGACGUAUACGGUGUGACGCCUGCCCGGUGCCGGAAGGUUAAUUGAUGGGGUCAGCGCAAGCGAAGCUCCUGAUCGAAGCCCCGGUAAACGGCGGCCGUAACUAUAACGGUCCUAAGGUAGCGAAAUUCCUUGUCGGGUAAGUUCCGACCUGCACGAAUGGCGUAAUGAUGGCCAGGCUGUCUCCACCCGAGACUCAGUGAAAUUGAACUCGCUGUGAAGAUGCAGUGUACCCGCGGCAAGACGGAAAGACCCCGUGAACCUUUACUAUAGCUUGACACUGAACAUUGAGCCUUGAUGUGUAGGAUAGGUGGGAGGCUUUGAAGCGUGGACGCCAGUCUGCAUGGAGCCGACCUUGAAAUACCACCCUUUAAUGUUUGAUGUUCUAACGUGGACCCGUGAUCCGGGUUGCGGACAGUGUCUGGUGGGUAGUUUGACUGGGGCGGUCUCCUCCUAAAGAGUAACGGAGGAGCACGAAGGUUGGCUAAUCCUGGUCGGACAUCAGGAGGUUAGUGCAAUGGCAUAAGCCAGCUUGACUGCGAGCGUGACGGCGCGAGCAGGUGCGAAAGCAGGUCAUAGUGAUCCGGUGGUUCUGAAUGGAAGGGCCAUCGCUCAACGGAUAAAAGGUACUCCGGGGAUAACAGGCUGAUACCGCCCAAGAGUUCAUAUCGACGGCGGUGUUUGGCACCUCGAUGUCGGCUCAUCACAUCCUGGGGCUGAAGUAGGUCCCAAGGGUAUGGCUGUUCGCCAUUUAAAGUGGUACGCGAGCUGGGUUUAGAACGUCGUGAGACAGUUCGGUCCCUAUCUGCCGUGGGCGCUGGAGAACUGAGGGGGGCUGCUCCUAGUACGAGAGGACCGGAGUGGACGCAUCACUGGUGUUCGGGUUGUCAUGCCAAUGGCACUGCCCGGUAGCUAAAUGCGGAAGAGAUAAGUGCUGAAAGCAUCUAAGCACGAAACUUGCCCCGAGAUGAGUUCU
Molecule: ribosomal RNA, 1551 nt
Filed under: Salmonella enterica subsp. enterica serovar Newport str. 36802
Lineage: Bacteria; Pseudomonadati; Pseudomonadota; Gammaproteobacteria; Enterobacterales; Enterobacteriaceae
Description: bacterial LSU rRNA
Rfam family: Bacterial large subunit ribosomal RNA
Source: RNAcentral